AUAUUAAUAAGCGGAGGAAAAGAAACUAACAAGGAUACCCUCAGUAACGGCGAGUGAAGCGGGUGAAGCUCAAAUUUGAAAUCUGGGAGCAAUCCCCGAAUUGUAGUUUUGUGAAGUGGAAUCAUGAGCCUGCCCGAGUUCAAGUCCUCUGGAAAGGGGCAUCAUGGAGGGUGACAAUCCCGUACAUGGCUUGGGGCGGUUGGUUCGCACGUUUCCAUUUCGUAGAGUCGGGUUGUUUGGGACUGCAGCCUUAAGUGGGUGGUAAAUUUCAUCUAAAGCUAAAUAUGGACAAGAGACCGAUAGCGAACAAGUACCGUGAGG
RNAcentral lists this ribosomal RNA (321 nucleotides) under uncultured fungus. RNAcentral describes it as "partial large subunit ribosomal RNA". It matches the Rfam family "Eukaryotic large subunit ribosomal RNA", at positions 40 to 358 of the family's 3401-position model. The record is from RNAcentral. Lineage: Eukaryota; Fungi.